This 4041-nucleotide long non-coding RNA is filed under the name Canis lupus familiaris (dog). RNAcentral describes it as "lncRNA (ENSCAFG00030016740.1)". Lineage: Eukaryota; Metazoa; Chordata; Mammalia; Carnivora; Canidae. The record is from RNAcentral.
AUGCUAGGUUUAAAAAAGAAGAGAGAAAGUGUGGGAUGUUCUCGCUCCAUGAUGAUAAACGUUGUGGCUACUCAAGGCUAUUGCUGUGAUGAAUAUUUCAAUCAAUCUGGCACGGCGCCCUCCGCUCUCCAGAGUGAGGAGAGAGUUGACAGUUGGAUGAAGAAAGGCUUUGUGGAGGAAGUGUCAUCAGAGCUGACCUUCAGGAUCCAGGGUUACUGCGGGCCCUGUUGGGUAAGUUCUUACAGAAAGUGCAGAGGAAAUCAGGAUCAGAGGCGAAAGCAUGUGCGGGCAUCCCUGAGGAGGCCAACAGUAGGUCUCGCAUCAGAGGGGUUCCUGGACAUCUCUGGGCCCAAGGAGAGCCUCCUCUAAAUCAGGAUCUUGCCCCAAAGUAGCACAGAAGAGGGAGGAUGCUGUUUCCAAAGAAGUGACUCAAAAACUCUCUGAAGCUGAUAACAGAAAGAUGUCUCGAAAGGAAAAAGAUGAAAGAAUUUUGUGGAAGAAGAAUGAAGUUGCUGAUUAUGACGCUGCAACAUUUUCCAUCUUCUAGAACAACACCCUAUUCCUGGUCUUGGUCAUUGUUGCCUCCUUCUUUAUAUUGAAGAACUUCAACCCAACAGUGAACUAUAUUUUGUCCAUAAGUGCUUCAUAAGGCCUCAUCGCCCUCCUGUCUACUGGCUCCAAGUAGACCAGACCGGCUUUGGCCCCUGGCUUUGUAUCUAUGCGUGGCCUGUGAUAUAUGGAAAAGUAACAGGGUGGUCAGAGUGAGAGACGCACAAGAUGUUUUUAUAGUCUGCAGUUGGAGGGUUUGAAAAACCCAACAAAAUGUAAUUCAAUAUUUGUUUAUUAGCAUUUUUUGACAGAUUGUUGAAAUUAAAUGAAUUGAAAAAAAACUACAUAGGACACUUCUAUUUAUUCUUCAAAUCUCAACUUGAGUAUCACCUCCUCUGUGAAGCCUUUCUGAUCAUUCCUGCUUUCCUGUCUGCCCCCCCCCCCCCAUCAUUUCCCUCUUUGCUAAGCAUACCGUGUCUAAGUACUUUGUAAACAGAGGACCCAGUGGGCAGGUGAUGAGGGGAGGCCUUCAUCUAUGACCUUGCUUGUAAAGGAGCUGAACUCUCAAUCUUUGCCUUAUGAUAGUAAUAAACUCCAACUACCUGUGCAGUCUCAGAAGGUAAAACAAAAGCAAAAACAAGUCCUGCUUGUUCCCUGUUAUACCCCCCAGCUCAUGGCCAGAAACAAGGGAGGGAAAGAGAGGUGAAAAAGGGAGAAGAAAUUCUAUAAACAGAUAAGAGAGGGGCGAGAGAAACCAUUGACAGUCGUGGUGACUUAAUCUUAAUUCUGAGGCCUAUUCCUUGUCUGUUUCCCUCUGAUCUGUAAAACAGAGUGCCUCCUAUAAGGUUUCUGAGUUCUGAAACAACUCAGGAGAAUGAUAGUUCUCUUUCUAUUAACGAAACCAUUCUCUAAAUGUGCCAUAGGGGGUAGGAGUGGGGUAGGAGUUUAGGGAAGAGAAUCAGUCAGCAGUUAGCAAGAGCCAAAUAAACACAGUGGCAGAUCCAUGGAAGCUGAAUCUGAGGGCAGGUUGGAGACCAACCAAGACUAGACAGUCAACGCCACUCAACAUUUGUUGUGUCUCUCUUCUGUGGGCCAUGAUAAAACUCACCAAAACAGUAUUUGUUGGGCCACAACCAGUUGUUGGGAAUGGAAAAUAGGGAGUAAGGCAAAAAAAAAGGCAGGGCACCAUCCUGGCAUCCAGUUGCACAGCUCUGGACGUGCCACCGCUCUGGCCUAGGAAGCAGCAGCCCGGCCCCUGGUCCCUGGGCUGCUGGCACUGGAGGGCCAUGGAAGGAGCCGGCGGGGCUGGUAGCUGGGGGAGAGCUCAAGCCUGCCCUGAGCUCAGCGGAAACCCGGCCCCCCGUCUGCCCAGGACAUCCCCUCGGUGCGUGCCUAGCCCCCAGCAAGCCCUGCCAGCCUCAUGCCUGCCUGGUCAUGAUUCAAGUCUAAUUUAAGCCGUGGGCCUGGUGCUCCCUUCAGCACGCCUCUGAGAAGGCCCGCAUGUUGCUUACAAACCAACCAACCAACAGCCCUCCUGCACUAUCGGUUUUACAGGCAAAAGAGGAUGUGGUGACGUCCUAUGAUAGAGGUUGUGUCCUCUAGGAUCCCCGAGGUACCCAACAGCGUGUAGACCAACCUGGCAGACAAACUGCUCCUUCUGUUUAUGUGCAUCAACUGUGUGUUCAGAGCUGUACCUGCGUGAGAAACAGGAAGCCUGAGGGACGUUUCCUCAGUUUAUCCCCUGCUUUCCCUGGACUCCUGGUAGGUAGGGCCUAUUUUCACUUCUGUACUCUCAGUAUUUGGCACAGAAUCUUACAAAGUGUAGGUGCUCAACAGAUGCUCCCUGAGUGAAUAUAAUAAUUCUAUUUUCAGGAUUCAGUUAUGACCGGAUCAAGUCUGACCCCUCAUCUCUUUGCUUCUGUAUUGGGAUGAGUUCACUGAAUGUCCCCACAGUCCCUAGUAGCUAACCUGUUACUCAGCUGCCACUACCUCAGCAGCAAGGCAGGCCGCCCCUUAGGCAGACAAGUAGAGCACACAGGACUCCGUCUCUUUCUUGCCUUUCUUUCUCCUUAUCUUCCUCUUUCCUUUCUGGCAGGGUGACCAACUAUCUCAGCUUGCCCAAGUCUGAGGCCUCUCUCAAGCUAACACCAGGCAAGUCCCAGCAAAUCUGGGCAGGUGGUCAUUCCAUUCUCCUUUUCCCUUCCAGAAACAUACGAUGAAUCAUAGUUUGGGCAUGGCCCUGAACUAGACCCCGUGGACUUCAAGAACAAGACAAAGCUUCUGCCCUCAGCAAUCUCAGCGUCUAAUGGGAUGGAGACACAUGGGCAAGAAGUUAUAAAGUACUAAGCAGAGGCAGUGUGGCUGGAGGGUGAGAGGAAGAGUAAGGUGAACUUAGGGAAAGCUUCCUUCAGGAUGUGACAUCAAAAAGCAUCAGAAAAUAUGAUUGCUUAGAGGCACCUAGUCCUGGUCAGGGAGACUGAGUGUCCUUACAAGUUGGGAGUGUCCAGCCACCCUGGUGCGACAGUGUUCCUGCAGAAUUGGAGGAGAUGAACAGAGGGUGGCAGUGUCAGACGUGGUGCAGCACCAUUACGCUGGGGAAGCACAGGCCCACGCUGUGUCGGAAUGUGUCGACUGGUUUUACUCAAGGCAGUAGAGCUAAUUAUAGAGCCAAAUUCCCUUUGCUCCCGAGUGAGACUGUUAUCGCAUCCCCACCCCCUUACCAUCAGCUUCCUCCCUCCCUUCUGUAGCUGACCUCCCUCUCCUCCUUACCCAAAACAUAAAUAUAAGUGAGGAUCUUGUCCCAGUUGCAAGACAGGUGAUUGUUUCCAUUCCUUUCUUUGGAACCCCAAGCUUUAAUUUCUGCUACAUCUGGAACACGGAGCCUGAUGAAGCUGGAGUUGGAGGUCAUAGUGCCUUUUGGCCUAGGAUUUCAGAGACUGCAUUUCCACACUCCUUUUGGACAGCUCUUGAGCAAGCUUAGGGUUUCCAAUGCCUCCUUACCAUCUAUCUUUCCAAAACUGGGGAAAGGGGAAAGGACUUUAGGUAUUUGAUGGGAGGCUACUCACAGCCUGCUUUGGGUUGGUCUUCUCAUGCCCUGGGACUUUCUGCUGGCCACAGUGAUGGCUGAGACCAGGAGAUGACAGAUGCCUCUGAACCGGAGCCUUGUACUGUUUCUCCAGGUUUGCGUUGCCCUGGGCUGCUCACCGUGGGACACACACCGAUGGCACAUCCUACAUUCCUGGUAGUUCAGCCCAUGUUCACUUCACUGUCCAGUUGAGUGGCUGGAGUGCUCAGUAGUGAUUUUACUCAUUUUCAUAUAGGAUUCUGUAUCUACUAAUGGAUCAAGGCCUCUUGGACUUCUCUAAUUUAACUGGGUCCGUUAUUUCUCUCUAGCACUGAGUUCAGGGGAUAAUUGGAAUCGAUUUAGGAUCUUAUUCCAUUCACUUACAAAGUAAUUUAAAAAAAUUUCACCUUGUCCUACAUCUACUCCCC